This 912-nucleotide long non-coding RNA is filed under the name Drosophila guanche. Lineage: Eukaryota; Metazoa; Arthropoda; Insecta; Diptera; Drosophilidae. The record is from RNAcentral.
CUUGGACGUGGGACGGAUAGGGCUUGGACUUGGAGCCUGGGUCUCGAGUCUUUUGUAUCGCUUUGGCUGGCCAAAAGACCAUUAAAAAUAUUUUUCUGCCCAUUCAGCAUUCAAUAGAAAUUUACAUCACGUCUGAAAUUUUUACAUACACACACCAAACGCAUGUGUACAGCUAGUCCUUCCUCCUGACAUUUUGUGAUGGGAGGGACUGUCGCGUGGAGCAUGCUAACACUUUUUUGUUGUGGGCUAGCUUAGGUCUUACCUGGCAAAAAAAAAACUAACUGGAGCGGCCUCAAAGUAACAAUAAUAAAAGCUGAGCAGAAGCCACAAGAAAAAGCACAAGAUGUCCUGCAGCAGAAGCCGAGCCAGGAAACUAUGUAUAUUGCCUCAUGGGCAAUUUCAUUGUGCGAUAAACUUACAUAUAUUGAGAUAGUCGGAGCGGAACCCUCGGCAAAUUGGUUUAGCAAGUUUACCCUUUUCAGAGGACUUUACGUAGCCGCCUUCGACUACCCCACAACCGAAACAAAUUGUAGUUUAAGAAGUUGCCGCACCCAGCAAUGCAAGGGCAUGUUGUGUUCAGGGAAAGGGAACAAGCGACAUGUGGCAAAACUAACUGUCUCAAAUGUAAGACAACUCUUAAGAAUUGUUUCUGUAAUAUUUGGGUAUUUUAUAGUCGUACAUUCAAAGCCAUUUUCUCUGUGACUGCCCCACAGGUAGACAAGUGGGAGUGCCCGUCUGGGGAGCUGCACAAUUUACUAAUUACCGCAAUCAAAGUUUACUCUUACAGCUUCAAAAGCACAAAACUGAUAAAUUAUAAAUUAAAGAGAAUCUCAUGAAAAGUUGCCUCUCGCUCUCUGCAGUGUGUUUCCGCGAACUCUUUUGAGUUUAUUCUACUCUCUUUUUGCGUGCAUA